RNAcentral lists this ribosomal RNA (303 nucleotides) under uncultured bacterium. RNAcentral describes it as "partial 16S ribosomal RNA". It matches the Rfam family "Bacterial small subunit ribosomal RNA", at positions 507 to 807 of the family's 1533-position model. The record is from RNAcentral.
AGCAGUCGCCACGGGAAUACGGAGGGUGCAAGCGUUAUCCGGAUUUAUUGGGUUUAAAGGGUCCGUAGGCGGAUCUGUAAGUCAGUGGUGAAAUCUCACAGCUUAACUGUGAAACUGCCAUUGAUACUGCAGGUCUUGAGUAAAUUUGAAGUGGCUGGAAUAAGUAGUGUAGCGGUGAAAUGCAUAGAUAUUACUUAGAACACCAAUUGCGAAGGCAGGUCACUAAGAUUUAACUGACGCUGAUGGACGAAAGCGUGGGGAGCGAACAGGAUUAGAGACCCCCGUAGUCCCUGUCUCUUAUAC